This is a non-coding RNA of Gymnopilus junonius, 88 nucleotides long. The record is from the annotation of a GenBank genome assembly. Lineage: Eukaryota; Fungi; Basidiomycota; Agaricomycetes; Agaricales; Galerinaceae.
GCAUUAAUGGGGUAGUGGUAACCUGGGUCGUUGCCAUGUUUUCCAAGUGGAGUUCGACCCGCCGGGGGUUCAAUUCCCCCUUAAUGCA